This 467-nucleotide ribosomal RNA is filed under the name Bacillaceae bacterium BTRH40. Its description in RNAcentral is "bacterial SSU rRNA". It matches the Rfam family "Bacterial small subunit ribosomal RNA", at positions 28 to 478 of the family's 1533-position model. Lineage: Bacteria; Bacillati; Bacillota; Bacilli; Caryophanales; Bacillaceae. The record is from RNAcentral.
GACGAACGCUGGCGGCGUGCCUAAUACAUGCAAGUCGAGCGAAUCGAUGGGAGCUUGCUCCCUGAGAUUAGCGGCGGACGGGUGAGUAACACGUGGGCAACCUGCCUAUAAGACUGGGAUAACUUCGGGAAACCGGAGCUAAUACCGGAUACGUUCUUUUCUCGCAUGAGAGAAGAUGGAAAGACGGUUUACGCUGUCACUUAUAGAUGGGCCCGCGGCGCAUUAGCUAGUUGGUGAGGUAAUGGCUCACCAAGGCGACGAUGCGUAGCCGACCUGAGAGGGUGAUCGGCCACACUGGGACUGAGACACGGCCCAGACUCCUACGGGAGGCAGCAGUAGGGAAUCUUCCGCAAUGGACGAAAGUCUGACGGAGCAACGCCGCGUGAACGAAGAAGGCCUUCGGGUCGUAAAGUUCUGUUGUUAGGGAAGAACAAGUACCAGAGUAACUGCUGGUACCUUGACGGACC